Molecule: small nucleolar RNA, 106 nt
Organism: Peromyscus eremicus (cactus mouse)
Lineage: Eukaryota; Metazoa; Chordata; Mammalia; Rodentia; Cricetidae
Product: small nucleolar RNA U13
Exons: 1
Source: RefSeq, a predicted model, not a curated record
AUCCUUUUUUUGGUUCAUAAGCGAGAUGAUUGUGAAUUAUCGCCAAUGCGUGAUGUGUGCUGCCCACUAAGCCUUGUGACGGCAUUGGCAUAUUACCCAUCUGACG